CCCUUAGAUGUUCUGGGCCGCACGCGUGCUACACUGAGUGGAUCAGCGGGUCAGGUUGCGCGAAAGUGUUUCCUAAUCUUGAAAUCCGCUCGUGAUGGGGAUUGACGGAUGCAAUUUUCCGUCAUGAACGAGGAAUACCUUGUAAGCGCGGGUCAUCAUCCCGCGCUGAAUACGUCCCUGCCCUUUGUACACACCGCCCGUCGCUCCUACCGAUUGAGUGGUCCGGUGAGGCUUUGGGAUCUGAGCGGAAAGAGCGUUUCGCUGUUUCUGCUCGGAAAACUCAGUCGAACCUUAUCAUUUAGAGGAAGGAGAAGUCGUAACA
RNAcentral lists this ribosomal RNA (322 nucleotides) under uncultured eukaryote. RNAcentral's name for it is "partial 18S ribosomal RNA". It matches the Rfam family "Eukaryotic small subunit ribosomal RNA", at positions 1470 to 1796 of the family's 1831-position model. The record is from RNAcentral.